Long non-coding RNA from Manacus vitellinus (golden-collared manakin), 1602 nucleotides. The record is from Ensembl. NCBI's taxonomy places the organism in Eukaryota, Metazoa, Chordata, Aves, Passeriformes, Pipridae.
AUUCCGGCCUUAAACACCCCCAAUGGUCUCGUGUCCAUCCCGUGUCCAUCCCGUGUCAAUCCCGUGUCCAUCACACUGUUACUGCUGAUUCCGGCCUUAAACACCCCCAAUGGUCUCGUGUCCAUCCCAUGUCCAUCCCGUGUCCAUCCCGUGUCCAUCCCGUGUCCAUCCCGUGUCCGUCACACUGUUACUGCUGAUUCCAGCCUUAAACACCCCCCAUUGGUCUCAUGUCCAUUCUGUGUCCAUCCCGUGUCCAUCCCGUGUCCAUCUCAUGUCCAUCCCGUGUCCAUCCCGUGUCCAUCCCAUGUCCAUCCCAUGUCAGUCACAUGCUGUUACUGCUGAUUCCGGCCUUAAACAUCCCCUUAAACAUCCCUGUGUCCGUCCCGUGUCCAUCCCGUGUUGAAUUCCUGCUGAUUCCGGCCUUAAAGCCCCGGUCCCGUGGCUCCCGUGUCCGUCCUGUGUCCGUCCCAUGUCGGGGUCUCGUGUCAUCACGUGUUGGUUCCGUGUCGGUCCUGGUGGUGCCUUAUCCCGUGUCAGUCCCGUGUCAGUCCCGUGUCACCCCUCCCUGGAUUCGCUGCUGGUUCUGCCUUAAUCCCUUUUAAAUCCCGUGACAAUCCCGUGUCUGUCCCGUGUCACUCCCGUGUCGUUCCCGUGUCGUCCCUCUCCCCGUGUUCCCUGCCAAUGGUGCCUUAAUCCCACGGGAAUCCCGUGUCAAUCCCAUGUAAAUCCCAUGUCAAUCCCACGGGAAUCCCGUGUCAAUCCCAUGUAAACCCCCUGUCAAUCCCAUGUAAAUACCAUGUCAAUCCUACGGGAAUCCUGUGUCAAUCCCAUGUAAAUCCCGUGUCAAUCCCAUGGGAAUCCCAUGUCAAUCCUACUGGAAUCCCGUGUCAAUCCCAUGUAAACCCCAUGUCAAUCCCAUGUAAAUCCCGUGUCAAUCCCAUGGGAAUCCCGUGUCAAUCCUACUGGAAUCCCGUGUCAAUCCCAUGUAAACCCCAUGUCAAUCCCAUGUAAAUCCCGUGUCAAUCCCAUGUAUUUCCUGUGUCAAUCCCAUAUAAAUCCCGUGUCAAUCCCAUGUAAAUCCCAUGUCAAUCCUGUGUAGUCCAGCCCGAGUUUAUCCCAUGUAAAUCCCGUGUCAAUCCCGUGUAAGUCCCAUGUCAAUCCCAUGUCAAUCCCGUGUAGUCCAGCCCGAGUUUAUCCCGUGCCAAUCCCGUGUCAUUCCCGUGUUGUUCCCGUGUCAAUCCUUCCCUCCAUCCCCCCCCCCGUCCAGGGCAUUAAUUACCCCCCGUUAACGAGCCACAAACUCUCAGGACAAGGGGCCAGUGACCUCCCCCCUCCUGGGCUAAUUAGCCCCCAUCUCUUAAUUAUUCCAGGCCAAUUCGCCCCCAUCUCUUAAUUAUUCUGGGCUAAUUAGCCCCUCUCUGUUAAUUAUCCCGGGCUAACUGAUCUCCCUGGGUUAAUUAGCCUCGUGGGUUAAUUAUUCGGGGUUGGUCGCCCCGUGGAUUGAUUAGUCAGGGCUAAUUGGCCCAACUGCCUGAUUAUUCGAGGUUAAUUAGCCCACCCCAAUAAUUCGUUCCAGGUUAAUUGUUAUCGAUGAUUCCAGAU